This 467-nucleotide ribosomal RNA is filed under the name uncultured bacterium. RNAcentral's name for it is "bacterial SSU rRNA". It matches the Rfam family "Bacterial small subunit ribosomal RNA", at positions 10 to 523 of the family's 1533-position model. The record is from RNAcentral.
AGUUUGAUCCUGGCUCAGAACGAACGCUGGCGGCAUGCCUAACACAUGCAAGUCGAACGAUGCUUUCGGGCAUAGUGGCGCACGGGUGCGUAACGCGUGGGAAUCUGCCCUUUGGUCUGGGAUAACUGUUGGAAACGACAGCUAAUACCGGAUGAUGACGUAAGUCCAAAGAUUUAUCGCCAGAGGAUGAGCCCGCGUCGGAUUAGCUAGUUGGUGGGGUAAAGGCCUACCAAGGCGACGAUCCGUAGCUGGUCUGAGAGGAUGAUCAGCCACACUGGGACUGAGACACGGCCCAGACUCCUACGGGAGGCAGCAGUGGGGAAUAUUGGACAAUGGGCGAAAGCCUGAUCCAGCAAUGCCGCGUGAGUGAUGAAGGCCUUAGGGUUGUAAAGCUCUUUUACCCGGGAUGAUAAUGACAGUACCGGGAGAAUAAGCUCCGGCUAACUCCGUGCCAGCAGCCGCGGUAA